This is a long non-coding RNA of Ctenopharyngodon idella (grass carp), 1688 nucleotides long. RefSeq lists it as uncharacterized. The record is from RefSeq and is a predicted model, not a curated record. The transcript has 4 exons. NCBI's taxonomy places the organism in Eukaryota, Metazoa, Chordata, Actinopteri, Cypriniformes, Xenocyprididae.
CUCACACAUGUUUGAGUCUGCAGAUGCUGACGCCAGCCUUCACUUCCGGCGCGGGCUAUAGCUCGUUUAAAAUCCAGUCUUAUUUUAUCAUUAUCUAUUAAAUUCUGUUGAAGUUUUAUCUAAAACUUAAGCUCCAGUGAACCGCAAUGUUCCUCUCAUGUUGUAUGUACAGACUAUUUUGUGAUUAUCUAAUUAAUCACAGAAAAUGUUAGCUCGAUUUACUACUUUAAUGAAAAAAUGAUAAUUUUAGACGGGAUAUGUUUAAUGCUACUCUGUCAUGUGUCAGCCUAUCAACAUUCAACAUUCAUCGAGCUGUCGCGGCAAUGAGAGAGAAAUCCCGUUCAAUUUCAGAAGCAUGCAGGUCCUCUUUUCACGGAUUCUGUUUGUUUUCCUAUUUAGUUCAGUAUCAAAGGGACUCAAAGACACGGCAGCAAUCUUCACCAUUCUCACGGCAUCAGUACAGAUCAGCCAUUUCAUCUCAGUGAUAAGCAUUUUCAUAGUUUUUGCCUUUGAUGUCGAUUAAGUGUAAAAUCGUAGGCUACUCUUUUGCUCUCUUUACACAAGCAGUAUUAUGCAAUCGCACGUUUUGUUAGAGACAGAGUGAGUUGUUCAACGAGAGCGCUCGUCGUGCUCGUUCGCAUUGUAACUUUUAGCACGUUAAUGAUCCACAUGAAAGAAUGGCGUACAAUAAUCGGCUCUAUCGUUGCAAGGCUCGGGGAAACCCCAAUCAUGGUUUAACCUUAAAGACACACACACACACACACACAAAUGAACUGGUGUGGUUGUAACAAUUAUGGUAACACUGAGCCAAAAAACUCAAAUAAGAGGUUGAAAUCAGAUCUGAUUCUGACCCAGAUUGAUUGAUGUAACCCGGGUAACCCAGGCUACUAGUAAAGAGAAAAAAAGUUAAGAAAAGGAAAAAAAAUCUAGAAGGAAAAAGAGAUUCAUCCAAUCACUGAUCGUGCUGCAGUGAGAGACACCCUUAACAGCCAAUAGUAGCGGCGCAUUCAUAAGUCCCGCCCACUGGUCGCGCCGGCGCUGUUUUCAGCGUGAGCAGAUGAGAGAGAGAGAGAGAGAGAGAGAGAGAGACCAGCACAGACCAGCACAGACCCUUUCUCCAAAAAAUCCAUUAAUCUAACUGGAAAUGUGAUUGAGUGCACUGAAAGUGGAGCUUUUGAAGUCGAUGCGUCAGCCUGAAGUGUUGAAGAGACGGAGAGAGAGAGAGAGAGAGAGAGAGAGAGAGACGGAGCGGAUCCCGGAGUGUUGAACUACCCAAAGGAAAAGGACAGUGAUUCCCAAACCACAGAGAAAUGAAAGACUGUUGAUGAGUAUCAAACACAACCUUGACAGAGACUCAGAAGAGGCUGAAAAAAAUGGAGGAAAACAAAAAAUUGAGAAAUUACAACAAAAAAAAGCUACCAAAUCUGAUAAAUGAAGUGAAGAUGGCCCUGAAGUCUCAGUGUUCGUCAGCAUCAGUCAGCUCUGACUUGGAAGGUGGGACAGGAUUUGCCACAGAGUAAUUACAGAGCCCUUCCAACAGAACAGUCUGGACUCCACUGAUGGUCAGAGUGAAAUCACUGCCAGAUCCACUGCCACUGAAUCUAGAUGGAGUUCCUGACUGGAGGCUGUUGAUCCGAUAAAUCAGGAGUUUAGGAGCUUCUCCAGGUUUCUGCUGAUACCAGGCUAAC